RNAcentral lists this ribosomal RNA (173 nucleotides) under Tomentella testaceogilva. RNAcentral's name for it is "partial 28S ribosomal RNA". It matches the Rfam family "Eukaryotic large subunit ribosomal RNA", at positions 1 to 161 of the family's 3401-position model. Lineage: Eukaryota; Fungi; Basidiomycota; Agaricomycetes; Thelephorales; Thelephoraceae. The record is from RNAcentral.
UUUGAACGUUCGAUCUCAAAUCAGGUAGGACUACCCGCUGAACUUAAGCAUAUCAAUAAGCGGAGGAAAAGAAACUAACAAGGAUUCCCCUAGUAACUGCGAGUGAAGCGGGAAGAGCUCAAUUUAAAAUCUGGCGUGCCUCUGGUCGUCCGAGUUGUAGUCUAGAGAAGUGU